GGGAAUCUUGCGCAAUGGGCGAAAGCCUGACGCAGCAACGCCGCGUGCGGGAAGACGGCCUUCGGGUUGUAAACCGCUUUCAGCAGGGACGAAAUUGACGGUACCUGCAGAAGGAGCUCCGGCCAACUCAGUGCCAGCAGCCGCGGUAAGACGUAGGGAGCGAGCGUUGUCCGGAUUUAUUGGGCGUAAAGGGCUCCUAGGCGGUUCAGUAAGUCGACGGUGAAAAUCCAAGGCUCAACCUUGGGACGCCAGUCGAUACUGCUGUGACUCGAGUCCGGUAGAGGAGUGUGGAAUACCUGGUGUAGCGGUGAAAUGCGCAGAUAUCAGGUGGAACACCAAUGGCGAAGGCAGCACUCUGGGCCGGUACUGACGCUGAAGAGCGAAAGCGUGGGUAGCAAAC
Molecule: ribosomal RNA, 400 nt
Filed under: uncultured bacterium
Lineage: Bacteria
Description: bacterial SSU rRNA
Rfam family: Bacterial small subunit ribosomal RNA
Source: RNAcentral